ACUCCCUAGCGGGAGGCAGCAGUGGGGGAAUUAUUGCACCAAUGGGGGGUAAACCCCUGAUGCCAGCCAUGCCGCGUGUGUGAAGAAGGUCCUUCGGGUUGUAAAGCACUUUCAGUAGGGAGGAAGGUAGUGUAGUUAACACCUGCAUUAUUUGACGUUACCUACAGAAGAAGCACCGGCUAACUCCGUGCCAGCAGCCGCGGUAAUACGGAGGGUGCGAGCGUUAAUCGGAAUUACUGGGCGUAAAGCGUCUGUAGGCGGC
This 262-nucleotide ribosomal RNA is filed under the name uncultured bacterium. RNAcentral's name for it is "partial 16S ribosomal RNA". It matches the Rfam family "Bacterial small subunit ribosomal RNA", at positions 335 to 579 of the family's 1533-position model. The record is from RNAcentral.